UUGCGUUUCCAAUUCUGAGGA
Molecule: non-coding RNA, 21 nt
Organism: Caenorhabditis elegans
Lineage: Eukaryota; Metazoa; Nematoda; Chromadorea; Rhabditida; Rhabditidae
Source: Ensembl